GUGCCAGCAGCCGCGGUAAUACAGAGGGGGCAAGCGUUAUUCGGAAUUAUUGGGCGUAAAGGGCGCGUAGGCGGCUUGGCAAGUGGAAGGUGAAAUCCCUCGGCUUAACCGAGGAACUGCCCUCCAAACUGCUUCGCUUGAGACCGGGAGAGGUGAGUGGAAUUCCCAGUGUAGCGGUGAAAUGCGUAGAUAUUGGGAGGAACACCAGUGGCGAAGGCGGCUCACUGGACCGGUACUGACGCUGAUGCGCGAAAGCGUGGGGAGCAAACGGGAUUAGAUACCCCGGUAGUCC
This 292-nucleotide ribosomal RNA is filed under the name uncultured bacterium. RNAcentral describes it as "partial 16S ribosomal RNA". It matches the Rfam family "Bacterial small subunit ribosomal RNA", at positions 505 to 796 of the family's 1533-position model. The record is from RNAcentral.